CAGACCCCCCUCCCAGAUCCUCCCACCUCCUGGACAGCUCACUAAGAAUGCAGCUUCACAAUGGAUGCUGUCCAGGAGGUGGGAGGGUCUGGGAGGGAGGGUCUG
RNAcentral lists this microRNA precursor (105 nucleotides) under Pelobates cultripes (western spadefoot toad). The record is from RNAcentral. Lineage: Eukaryota; Metazoa; Chordata; Amphibia; Anura; Pelobatidae.